AAUGUCGUAACAAGGUCUCCGUUGGUGAACCAGCGGAGGGCAUCAUUACCGGAGUUUACAACUCCCAAAUCCCUGCUGAACAUACCUUAAUUGUUGCCUCGGCGGAUCAGCCCAGCGCCCAGUAAACCGGACGGCCAGCCAGAGGACCCUCAAUCAUCUAAUGUUUCUUAUUGUAACCUUCUGAGUAAAAUCAAAGCAAAGUAAAUCAAAG
RNAcentral lists this unclassified non-coding RNA (211 nucleotides) under plant metagenome. RNAcentral describes it as "partial contains small subunit ribosomal RNA and internal transcribed spacer 1". The record is from RNAcentral.